This 147-nucleotide non-coding RNA is filed under the name Enterocloster asparagiformis. RNAcentral describes it as "Clostridium asparagiforme SAM-I sequence". It matches the Rfam family "SAM riboswitch aptamer (S box leader)". From Rfam's summary of the family: The SAM riboswitch is found upstream of a number of genes which code for proteins involved in methionine or cysteine biosynthesis in Gram-positive bacteria. The SAM riboswitch acts at the level of transcription termination control. The record is from RNAcentral. Lineage: Bacteria; Bacillati; Bacillota; Clostridia; Lachnospirales; Lachnospiraceae.
CCCUUAUUCAGAGUGGUGGAGGUACAAAGGACCUGUGAAGCCACGGCAACCCCGGAUGAGCGCCGAGUGCGCGAGAGAGCCGGAAGGUGCCAACCUGAGCGAGGAGCGGCCGGAGAAUCAUCGGCGCGCUUGAUCGAGCAAUAAGAG